ACGUACGCUGGCGGCACGCCUAACACAUGCAAGUCGAACGAAGUAGCAAUACUUAGUGGCAGACGGGUGAGUAACAUGUAGGUAUCUGCCCUUUGGCCUGGAAUAACACGAGGAAACUUGUGCUAAUACCGGAUAAGUCUUUACAGAGAAAGCUUUAUGCACCAUUGGAUGAGCCUGCACUUGAUUAGUUUGUUGGUGGGGUAAUGGCCUACCAAGACUGUGAUCAAUAGCUGAUUUGAGAGGAUGAUCAGCCACAUUGGGACUGAGACACGGCCCAAACUCCUACGGGAGGCAGCAGUGGGGAAUCUUGCACAAUGGAGGAAACUCUGAUGCAGCUAUGCCGCGUGAGUGAAGAAGGCCUUUGGGUUGUAAAGCUCUUUCGUCGGGGAAGAAAAUGACUGUACCCGAAUAAGAAGGUCCGGCUAACUUCGUGCCAGCAGCCGCGGUAAUACGAAGGGACCUAGCGUAGUUCGGAAUUACUGGGCUUAAAGAGUUCGUAGGUGGUUGAAAAAGUUAGUGGUGAAAUCCCAGAGCUUAACUCUGGAACUGCCAUUAAAACUUUUCAGCUAGAGUAUGAUAGAGGAAAGCAGAAUUUCUAGUGUAGAGGUGAAAUUCGUAGAUAUUAGAAAGAAUACCCAAUUGCGAAGGCAGCUUUCUGGAUCAUUACUGACACUGAGGAACGAAAGCAUGGGUAGCGAAGAGGAUUAGAUACCCUCGUAGUCCAUGCCGUAAACGAUGUGUGUUAGACGUUGGAAAUUUAUUUUCAGUGUCGCAGGGAAACCGAUAAACACACCGCCUGGGGAGUACGACCGCAAGGUUAAAACUCAAAUGAAUUGACGGGGACCCGCACAAGUAGUGGAGCAUGUGGUUUAAUUCGAAGAUACGCGCAGAACCUUACCAACACUUGACAUGUUCGUCGCGACUCUAAGAGAUUAGAGUUUUCGGUUCGGCCGGACGAAACACAGGUGCUGCAUGGCUGUCGUCAGCUCGUGUCGUGAGAUGUUGGGUUAAGUCCCGCAACGAGCGCAACCCUCACUUUUAGUUGCCAUCAUUAAGUUGGGCACUCUGAAAGAACUGCCAGUGAUAAGCUGGAGGAAGGUGGGGAUGACGUCAAGUCCUCAUGGCCCUUACGUGUUGGGCUACACACGUGCUACAAUGGUAUCUACAACAGGAAGCAAGACUGCGAAGUUAAGCAAAUCCCUAAAAGAUACCUCAGUUCGGAUUGCACUCUGCAACUCGAGUGCAUGAAGCUGGAAUUACUAGUAAUCGUGGAUCAGCGUGCCACGGUGAAUGCGUUCCCGGGUCUUGCUACACACCGCC
Molecule: ribosomal RNA, 1320 nt
Filed under: uncultured Alphaproteobacteria bacterium
Lineage: Bacteria; Pseudomonadati; Pseudomonadota; Alphaproteobacteria
Description: bacterial SSU rRNA
Rfam family: Bacterial small subunit ribosomal RNA
Source: RNAcentral